CCUACGGGUGGCAGCAGUGAGGAAUAUUGGUCAAUGGACGAGAGUCUGAACCAGCCAAGUAGCGUGAAGGAUGACUGCCCUAUGGGUUGUAAACUUCUUUUAUAAAGGAAUAAAACGAGGCACGUGUGCCUUUUUGCAUGUACUUUAUGAAUAAGGAUCGGCUAACUCCGUGCCAGCAGCCGCGGUAAUACGGAGGAUCCGAGCGUUAUCCGGAUUUAUUUGGUUUAAAGGGAGCGUAGAUGGGUUGGUAAGUCAGGUGUGAAAGUUUGCGGCGCAACCGUAAAAUUGCAAUUGAUACUGGCAGUCUUGAGUACAGUUGAGGUAGGCGGAAUUCGUGGUGUAGCGGUGAAAUGCUUAGAUAUCACGAAGAACCCCGAUUGCGAAGGCAGCUUACUAAACUGUGACUGACAUUGAUGCUCGAAAGUGUGGGUAUCAAACAGGAUUAGAUACCCCAGUAGUC
Molecule: ribosomal RNA, 460 nt
Filed under: uncultured bacterium
Lineage: Bacteria
Description: partial 16S ribosomal RNA
Rfam family: Bacterial small subunit ribosomal RNA
Source: RNAcentral